AGUUCGUAUAUGAAGCAGAUCCUGGCAGAGAAUCGUCACAUUGUUUUCAGUGUUUUCGGAGAGUGAAUCCUGACAACAUUGGAGAUUUCAGACAAUAGUCAUCGACUACGAUCUUUUAAAUAACUUGACCAGAGCAUAACCGGUUAUCUGCCAUUACCGGACUGUUGGGACAAUCUUUUGACUUUAAAGACAACUUGACCAGCGCAUAACCAGUUAUCUUCACCCAAGAGACCUACUGUUGGGACAAUCUUUUGGCUUUAAAGAUGCUGUUUGCCAUCGUCCAGUUUAUUGAUGAGAAGGAUCUGCCAUUUGCAGUGGUUCCGCAAGUGUGGCUCAGCAAGGGCAUAUGCUAUUGGCCUCCAUUUAACCUUCGCAAAAAGGACAAAGGCAACAAUUUAGCCAUCCGCUGCACGCCUCCACAAAGCACCUGGGAGAAAUAUAAUUUUAAGUUUAUGAAGGGAGCAGGUAAAUGGGUCUGGCAUUUUAUUUUACUACAUUUCAUUUGU
Paramisgurnus dabryanus is the source of this 506-nucleotide non-coding RNA. NCBI's taxonomy places the organism in Eukaryota, Metazoa, Chordata, Actinopteri, Cypriniformes, Cobitidae. The record is from RefSeq and is a predicted model, not a curated record.